This 133-nucleotide small RNA is filed under the name Escherichia coli. RNAcentral's name for it is "partial RtT sRNA". It matches the Rfam family "RtT RNA", at positions 31 to 130 of the family's 130-position model. From Rfam's summary of the family: This family represents a bacterial cis-regulatory element known as RtT RNA. Lineage: Bacteria; Pseudomonadati; Pseudomonadota; Gammaproteobacteria; Enterobacterales; Enterobacteriaceae. The record is from RNAcentral.
AUUGGUCGCAGGUUCGAAUCCUGCACGACCCACCAGUUUUAACAUCGAAGACAGAUGUUAAGCGUGUAGGAUAACGUUGCGUCAGCAACGGCCCGUAGGGCGAGCGAAGCGAGUCAUCCUGCACGACCCACCA